RNAcentral lists this ribosomal RNA (253 nucleotides) under uncultured bacterium. RNAcentral's name for it is "partial 16S ribosomal RNA". It matches the Rfam family "Bacterial small subunit ribosomal RNA", at positions 524 to 776 of the family's 1533-position model. The record is from RNAcentral.
UACGUAGGGUGCGAGCGUUAAUCGGAAUUACUGGGCGUAAAGGGUGCGCAGGCGGUUUUUUAAGCCAGAUGUGAAAUCCCCGGGCUCAACCUGGGAAUGGCAUUUGGGACUGCAAGGCUAGAGUGUGGCAGAGGAGACUGGAAUUCCCGGUGUAGCAGUGAAAUGCGUAGAUAUCGGGAGGAAUACCGAUGGCGAAGGCAGGUCUCUGGGCUGACACUGACGCUCAUGCACGAAAGCGUGGGGAGCAAACAGG